GAGUUGGGAAAUAAGCGUGACGUCACAUGCUCACGAUCAAUUGAGUUAUACCUGAAGUAGUGUUUGGUGUGGUUAUACUUGACUAUUAUAUUAUCUUUAUAAAGCAGUGUAUUCCUGUUAUACCUCUCCCCAGCAGCACCUUGGUUCAGCGCUAAUAACCUUCUACGAAUCGGAGAGUGCUUGAUUGAUUUCCUACGAAGGGACUUCUCGGUAACUUGAGGGAAUUAUGUGAACACGACGACACAGCGUCAUACGUAAGCCUGCGUGGGUGAGUGGAAACGAGCGGCCCAAGUGGGCGGACCGGAGAGUUUAGUGUCUACCUGCUGGCAGCGGGAGCGCUUCAUUUCAGCACCAAGGACAGAGAGGAAGGACGCGAGCAAUUGCUCUGCUGAACUUGUGUGAUUCUGUUAAUCAAGAGGAAUUAUUCACUCAAACACUUGGAUGGAUUUGGAGCUUCAAACUAAGGUUGGAAGUGAAAUGCUCAAUAAUAAAUGCUGUUUUGUAAUAAAUGCACGUUUUUCCUUAAACUUGCUUUUUUUCUUUGCAGAAUUUUCUUGCUCUUUUCAGUUACUUGGGAUUUUGCGUCACAUGAGGAAUAUCCCUGUUAUGUCCAGUUCUGAGUAAGGAGGAAGAAGUCUAAAAGAAGAAUUCACUCUCAGUUGGAAUAAUAAGACCCUCAUCAUGAAUGUGAAUAAUAUCAACAGAGGAAACAAAACUCACCCGUAUUCACCGCCCACAGAGGACCCUCUGUACAGGCAGUACAAGCCCCUCCCGAGGGACCUCGUGCCCCUGCCAAAGGCAGUGUUGUACCUGCUCAUGGCUGUCCUGGUAGUUGUUGGAGUUGCCUAUGCUAUUGUUGGACAUCUCAUCAAGGAUCUGGCCAUUGACAUUGCAGAGUGUUUGUUGGGUCCGACUAGUGAUGAAGAGAAGGACAGGGAAAACAACCAGCAGCACGUGGCCGCCAGCCAUCCCCCUGCUGUGCAUCCAUUUGCCCACAAUGCCUUCCAUGUGUGGGACCAGGACGAGGUGGUCAUCUCUCUGCCCCACGAAGAGAGCUCCCUGAGCAGCCCGCUGCUGAUGGCUACCAUCCCCUACAUCCCCUCGUUCUUCCCACACUCACACAGCCCAACAAGUCACUGCUCUCUGGCUUUUUCCAACAGCCCAGUAACAACCAGAGUGAUCAACAUCCCGAGGGAGACCUGAUGUUUCACAAAGACCAUGAUCAUGAUCAGCCUUGAUGACUUGGUAACCAAGUGUUAGGACACCAGCACACACAAGACACAUGCAGAUUUGUGUUGCGUAUCAAUGAAGAGAUGGUUGUCAUACGUGUAGAAACCCAGUCUUGUGUUGAACGCUGUGCCCUUCACACAUCAUAUAUACGGAAAAUCCCUGAGAAGGGGAACCCAAGGACAAAAGGAAUUACUGGAGAAGUUCACUGGAUAUUGUCUUCGUUAAUAAAGCCUAACAAGUGUGACAGUAUGAAAGUGGAGCUACUGUAUGUUCAGUGUGAGGGACUGAUGUUUGUACUGGCAGCAAGACAUUGUUGUUCCUUUCUGACUAUAAAGUGUGUCUUAUUAGUGGAACUCACUGGUGGUGUUUCUGUUUUGUUGUUGCACUAAAUGUUCUGCAAACUGGAGAUCAGACUCUUGGUGGAGGUUACUACAGUAUUUGUAGUCAACAAAGCUGCUUCCAACCUGCAAACCAGCUGGCUGUGCCGCACACUUUAGCUAAAUGUUAUUUCAAGACACGGAGGGAUUAUCUUAAGAAGAAGACUUAACAGAGUUCCAGCAAUGCUCAACAUGUACACAACACAACUUAAUCCUGCAGCCUUUACUGCAGGUGUCACAUGCACUUGUGGAUUCCCCGUGUGGUAAAGCAGAGCCUAUACAAGCGCAGUUUAUAGCAUAAAAGUGUGUGUAAGUGUGUAGCAUGCUGGGAAAGUCAGCUAAGUUUUCCUUUAAUACCAGCGCACAGCAGCUUUUAUUCUUAGACAACAUGUUCUUAAUAAAUAACGUUUGAAAUCAUAAAUUAUUCAAAAUCUAAAACUGUCAGCGUUCUACUUGCAUUCAGUAUGUUUUGCCCACACUGUUGGGAAGAACAAAAGUGAAGUAAAAAAGAUCCAAUAAAACGUUUCAUUUACAACUCUUGUCUAAGCAAUGUCAUGUGGUCAGUUGU
Long non-coding RNA from Cottoperca gobio, 2175 nucleotides. Lineage: Eukaryota; Metazoa; Chordata; Actinopteri; Perciformes; Bovichtidae. The record is from Ensembl.